CUUUUCCUUUGGGAGUCAUACAGGCUCCAGUGGUAGCAGAGAAAUCCUCCCCACCACGGCUUUCACUUUGUUUAAAUCGACAACACCUUGUGGGGUUUAUUGCUGUUCUUGGGGCCCGGGCCUUAUUUGGUCUUUGGAAGCGACCAAACAUCCCUGCUGAGUCAUGGCCCUCGUACUGUGCUGGUUGGUACAUGGGGGAGAGAAGGACAGAGGGGUUUUAAAAAAAAAAAAAAGAAUUAUUUAUUUGAGCGGGUAGGGAAGGGGCAGAGGGAGAGAGAGAAUCUCAAGCCAAUACCCCGGUGAACAGGCCAUGUGCAGGACUUGAUCCCAGGACCCUGAGAUCAUGACCUGAGCCAAAAUCAAGAGUGGGACACUCAAAUGACUGAGCCCCCCAGGCACCCCCCAGAAGGUCCUUCAAAAAACUCAGAAGAUGAGGCAAAGACACAGGGGAGUACAUAUGUUGUUUACGUCCAUCCUGGUGUUAUGAAGGGCCAUCGCUUUUGUGGACACAGCGGACUCUCUCUUUGAUGAGAAGGGAACUCUGCAGGCUGAUGUCACUGAUGGAAGGAGAGGCAGGGUGCGCAUCACAGGAGACGUGUCGUCACACACACUGGGUUCCGACUCUUGGCAGCUCACCUACUGGCCGUGUUCCCCCAGGACAGCCAUGGAGCCUCCGUGAGACUCAGUUGCUUCGUUGGGAAAAUCGAACUAAGAACACUGCAGAAGGCAAGGGCGAGUGGAAUGUGGCGGAAGGACUAAGGGUGCUCCAUUCCCUAAGCCCUUUGUGAACACCUGCCUUUUGUCUUCCUACUGAAGUGGCACCUCGUCUGGCUAUCCUUCUUGGUCAUGCUCUCCUUACAGUGCUGCUUUCUUCCCUAGUUAUUUCCCUAGUGAUUAAAAAGACCUUGUGAAAUGUUUAGAAUAUUGUUUCCUUUAUUCUUCUGAAAUAUUGACACCUGCAGGAAUGUGAAUAAUGUACAGAUGAAAAGUCAUCAUAACACACCGCAUGAACUCAUCAGGCAGCUGGAACCUGGAGCGUCGCUGCUGUGGGUGCUCUCUCUGUGCUCCUCCCAUGCUCACCUCCCACUCCAGUCCUCACAGGGAAGCACUACCCUAGUUCCUUCGGAGAUGGACCGUGACAUUAUCUUCCAGUGAUACACCACCUAAUUUUGUUUGCUUUUUUUUUUUUUAAUUUUGUUUGCUUUUUAAUGUGAUAAACACAGCCUGUUUCUGAGACUCGGCAACACGGAUGUGUGUGUUUGUGGUUCAUUUAUUAUGGCUGCGGUAAGGAGCAUAAUCAAUGUAUGAAUUUAUGAAUAAACUGCAAUGUCCUUACCCAUUCAGCGGACA
This is a long non-coding RNA of Canis lupus familiaris (dog), 1350 nucleotides long. RefSeq lists it as uncharacterized. Lineage: Eukaryota; Metazoa; Chordata; Mammalia; Carnivora; Canidae. The record is from RefSeq and is a predicted model, not a curated record. The transcript has 2 exons.